GAUGAACGCUGACAGAAUGCUUAACACAUGCAAGUCAACUUGAAUUUGGGUUUUUAACUUAGGUUUGGGUGGCGGACGGGUGAGUAACGCGUAAAGAACUUGCCUCACAGCUAGGGACAACAUUUGGAAACGAAUGCUAAUACCUAAUAUUAUGAUAAUAGGGCAUCCUAUAAUUAUGAAAGCUAUAAGCGCUGUGAGAGAGCUUUGCGUCCCAUUAGCUAGUUGGAGAGGUAACGGCUCACCAAGGCGAUGAUGGGUAGCCGGUCUGAGAGGGUGAUCGGGCACAAGGGGACUGAGACACGGCCCUUACUCCUACGGGAGGCAGCAGUGGGGAAUAUUGGACAAUGGACCGAGAGUCUGAUCAAGCAAUUCUGUGUGCACGAUGAAGUUUUUCGGAAUGUAAAGUGCUUUCAGUUGGGAAGAAACAAAUGACGGUACCAACAGAAGAAGUGACGGCUAAAUACGUG
RNAcentral lists this ribosomal RNA (467 nucleotides) under uncultured bacterium. RNAcentral's name for it is "partial 16S ribosomal RNA". It matches the Rfam family "Bacterial small subunit ribosomal RNA", at positions 28 to 507 of the family's 1533-position model. The record is from RNAcentral.